GGGCUCACUUUGGCAGCACAUAUACUAAAAUGGGAACGAUACGAACAAGAUUAGCAUAGCCCCUGCGCAAGGGGGACAUGCAAAUUCAUGAAGCAUUCUGUAUUUUU
Molecule: small nuclear RNA, 107 nt
Organism: Artibeus jamaicensis (Jamaican fruit-eating bat)
Lineage: Eukaryota; Metazoa; Chordata; Mammalia; Chiroptera; Phyllostomidae
Source: RefSeq, a predicted model, not a curated record